RNA transcript from Solanum lycopersicum (tomato), 4600 nucleotides. RefSeq lists it as uncharacterized. NCBI's taxonomy places the organism in Eukaryota, Viridiplantae, Streptophyta, Magnoliopsida, Solanales, Solanaceae. The record is from RefSeq and is a predicted model, not a curated record.
GCAUGCACAUUCGCCCGCAUUCCGAUGGAAGAAUUAAUUAAAUACUCAAAAAUUCCAUUCUCUUGCAAAACAUUCUCUGCUUAGAAUAAUGGCCGGCCAUUGAGCUUUCCGGGAUCACUUAGGAUUUGUAUGUUGGACUUCCAUAUCUGGUAAAGUUGCAGGGAUCACUUAGGGGUUAGAUGAUGGAGUUUGGACUUCCAUAUAUUGUAAAGUUGCAGGGAUCAGUUAGGAGUUAUAUGAUGGAGUUUGGACUUCCGUAUCUGGUAAAGUUGCAGGUGAGCACAAAUCAGGUGGCUGUUUUUGUACUUUUAGAUCCUAUUUUCCUUAACUGGUUUAAAAAAAUUAUUUACUUAAUACUUUUUCGCUUUAAAUCCAGAUGAGUGUUCCUAGUAUUUUUUGAGAGUAGGAGGAAUCUCAUCUUACAUGGUGAUAUACUAAAAUAGAAAGUUGGCAGAAAAGUUAGUUGACUUACAAUGACAAAGCAUUCUGAACAGGAAAUUGGGAAAAAUGCUCUGAAAGUAGAACAGUAUGUAUAUUCAAAGAGGAAUUAACUCUUAAGUUGUUUGCAUUGCCAGUUUGGAUUAAAAAUACAUAUUGCACUUUACAUGUAAAGUUGCCUAAUCUUUUUGUUAUUUCAUGAAAUAGAGAAAUUUAUCCAGUUUAAUUGACUUUUAUACACAAGACUAAGAUUUUAUUUGUCCAUAAAUGCCUGAUGAGCAUUCUGCAGUUUCCAAAACAUCAAUCUCAAAUGUGAUUCUUUUGUAACCUAUUCAAUAAGAACCCUACCUUAUUUUUGGAAUAGUUAUUGCUGUCAGAAUUUAGGAUUAAAAUGGUUACCUAAAAGAAGGGGCAUUCCGAGAAUCGAACUCGGGACCUCUCGCACCCAAAGCGAGAAUCAUACCACUAGACCAAAUGCCCAGCUGUCAAUGGUCCCUCAUAGACAAUCUUAAUGAUAGCUGGAAGUUCCAGAUUUCUGUUGUUUGGAAAACAUAGCUUAAUCUUUUGGGAGAAUCAUCAAAGAUAAUUUUACAAAGCCGGAGAUACAAAUUUAUAGUAGUUUUAAAGAAAAUCAAGAAGUUGCUAAAAUGAACUUGUCAUAAGAACAUUUAUACAAAUUUUGCGCUAAGCAGAGUUAAUAGUUGUUAAUUUUUUUUUAAAGUUUUCACUCAUAAAACUUCUACUUCCAAAAAACCUUUAUCAAGGCAACAAGUAAUUCUCAAUUUGCCUUUUUCCCCUCCUGAUCUCACUCUCUUGCCUUUUUCCUAUCAAAAUACUACUUUGGCUGGUUCUGGUACUGUACUUGUUGCUGUUUAUUUCCACUUUCAUUCUUGACUUGCAAUGGGGUGAAUGAUAAAGUUGCACUAUUCAUUUUUACCAAGCAGUGGAUAUGCUGGCAGGUUUUUUCUUCACAAUCUGCCUCAAGCACCCUUAGUUUCUACUUGAAGCUUUUGGAUUUUCUCAUAAUUCUCCUCCAGCUAUUGUUUCCAGUGUUCUCAGUUCUAAGCUAAAAGACUUUUCCUGCUUAUGAAUUAAAAUUGUUUCCCACCACAUUCCUAUUUUUGAUGCAUAAACGUUAUUCAACUGGAUUUUGAUUUGUUAUAUCCUUUCUUUUGUGGAUUUGAUGCAUAACUGAUUAAAUAUGAUUCAGAUUAAUAACAGUUGUAGGUUUUAUUAAUUUGAGUCUUGGGCGUCUACUUUGUUAACAAAUUGGUUGUGGUUUCUUAGUUUGAACUAUCAAUUAGUGCUCUUAACUUGCAUCCAAUUGUGUGGUCUAGCAGUUAAUGAAGUGGGUGAAAACCAUGUGAGACCAGGGAUCAAAUCCCAGUGGAUACAAAAGACAUUUACUAUUUUUUUCUAUUUGCAUAAACCUUGGUGAAUAGAGUUACCCGUUACCUGCAUGACCACUGUCAUAAAAAAAUUAAAAUUGGGCUCUCAAGUUUUGCUCACUGAUGAUUAUACUGAGCAGGACAAAGUGUAGUGUUAAAUGGUCAAGUGCUGAAGAAAGGGGCAUUCCGAGAAUUGAACUCGGGACCUCUUGCACCCUAAGCGAGAAUCAUACCACUAGACCAAAUGCCCUGUUGUUGAAUUUAACUUCUUUCCUAUACAAUUUAUUUUUCUUUAUGAUCCAUAUUUAGCUUGAUUAAUUUUUCUUUGCAUCAUGAUAAAUCAAUUAAUAACUCUCUAGAUCUGAGUUGUCAUAACUGUCAGAACAGGUUCAGUAUUGCUUUUGUGUCAUCAAUAUGUUUAUUUCGUAAUAGCUAUUUGGCCACGAAAUUCCCAGCUAACUUGAAAAUGCUGACUAUAGUGAUAUAUGCUUUUAUAGGAAGUAGCUGUCUUUGAAUUAUACAACACAUCCUUACAUAAGUUGACAUUAAAUACUCUCUGGACCUUUUUCUUUAAGUUAUUCAUUUGAAGUUAAAAAAAGAAGAAAGAACUAAGAGCUAAUACUAAAAUAAGGGAUAACAGACUCCACCAUUUCAUCAAUUUCAAAAUUUUAAUAUCGUGGUUGACUUCUGAUCUUAUCUCUAACACUUUCUAGUCAGGCGACUUCACUGAGCACCUCUAGAAUUGCUAGGUGUAACAAUAUGUUUAUUUACACUUUUGGUCAAACGUACCACAUUUCUACUACCUCUGUGCAUGUAGAAGUUUAAUACAUUAAAUAGGGCAUUGAGUAGGUAUUGUUUUGUAUGAAUAAUGUUUAUCUUGUAUCUGCAUUGCUUCACAAGGGAAAGUCAUGUGUAAAGUUAUUUUUUCCACUUAAAAACAAAAAAUAAUUUUGUUAAUUGUGUAUUCGAUCUCCUUUUUAAAAUAAUAAUGAUUUUAAAUAAAACACAGACAUUUUGAUUAAUCAGAUAUUGGGGUUAAUGUUCUUUUAAUAAAAUGAGGCAUUCCGAGAAUCGAACUCGGGACCUCUCGCACCCAAAGCGAGAAUCAUACCACUAGACCAAAUGCCCAGUUGUUCAAGCAUGACAGACCAAAUGCCCAGUUGUUCAAGCAUGAUCGGUGUCUUAUUCUCUUUUAAUAUCUCAUAUCAUUCCUUGCAGAAUUUUAAUCUUUAGACUCCUCAUUUUUGCUCUUCUGCAUUUGCUUAUACAAAGAUUUUUUGAGGAAUUUUAUUUAUUCUCAUUGGGAAUUGUCAGUGUGUCACUAUAGAAGCAAAGAGAGUGUUCUUAAAUCUUCUGCUUUUCCGCCUUUCCUCUAAUAUUUACUUUUCUCUAAUUGAUAAAUUUUAGUGGAAAUCCUUUCGUUAUCAUACCUAGUCCUUUGGACAUGUUGCAAAGAACUGCUAUACGUGAUGAUAUUAAGAUUUUUCUGGCACUAUAUUAAACUGCAUCAUAUUUUAGUCCCGUAAUUUGAGUUGAAGUCACGACUUAAGCAGAACUUGCUAAUUAUAGGAAUAAUUGAGGUAAACAUUUGCUAUGCUUUUGGGUCUAUCUGAUUUCUAGUUUAUUUGAGCUACUUUCUUGAUUAAUCUAGUCUGUGAUUCUUGUUUGAGUUUUAUUUUGCAGCUCGUAUAAGUAAGUACAGAAAACAACAUGAACCUAGUGAUUGCCAAACUAAAUAUGAAUGGAUGAUUCAUCAACUGGGGUUCUUUAAUCUGAGAUCUUACGCCAAACAGACGACAUAUCACUUCAGCAAUCCUUGAUUUUUGGCAACUUUUUUCUGCCAUUGACUGAUAUAUUCGGCUGCAUUUUUUGACCUCCAUGGUCCAAAAAAAUGAACCUUCUUUAUUAAGCUUUGCUCAAGGACAAAUAUAUUUGCUAGCUGUCUCUUUAUUUGGCUACUUUUUCCAGAUCAAAAACAAAUGUAGAACUGCAAUAACAUACAUUUUCUGGUUAUCAAUUCUUUUGUUUCUUAGGGAUCACUUAGAAGUUCUAUGUUGGAUUUUGGACAUUCAGAUCUCCUUAAAGUUGCAGACAUAUAGGAGUACGUCAGACAAUGUCAAGCAAUUUUAUAUCUUGGGCCUAUAUAAAUUAUAACAGUAACAGAGGUCAAACGUGCAAGCACAUCCCUAAUGAAUUUGUAAUCGAGCAUGGCCCUAAUCUAGGGGAUAGUGUGUUGCUUGAGGUCCCAAAUGGCGUGGCAUGGAAAGUAAAACUGCUAAACUCUAGUGGCAUGGUAUGGUUAAAUGAAGGCUGGAACAAAUUCAAGGAGUACUAUUCAAUUGCAUGUUGUUACUUUUUACUCUUCAGAUACGAAGGAAAUUUCCAGUUCUCUCUGUUCAUAUUUGAUCUAAAUGCUUCUGAGAUUGAAUAUCCUCCUGGCCAAAAUGAAGAUAUGACACCACAAAAUCGAUCUGUUCUGUGCGUGCCACCAGAGGAAAGCGGAAUAAACUUACCCCUACUCGGUGAGCCACCAAACGAGAACAGGAUAAACUUAACCCCACCUGAUGAUCCACCAGAGGAAGAUGUGAUAUACUUAUCUCCACCUGGUAUUUACACCAUCAUGGCCAAAGGUAUAGAUAUAUUUAAGGCUAGUUUUUCUCUCUCUUUCAGAGCUUCACAAUGUAUUUUACGAUUUAAGUUAUGUACCCUGGAAUGUAAAUAUCUUUUUUAUACAAUCAAUGAAUUCAGCACCAAGUUAGUGACUAGAUUACCAA